AUCCGAGACUUGGCGUUUGACUAAAUUAGUUGUAAACGGCAUGCCGUUAAUAACGUCGAAUGAUUCGUGCUCUUCUUCCGUAGAAUCUGGCUCCAUGGAUUUGUAUCUAUCAACGAGUUUCAAUGCUGUUCUGCAGAUAGCUUCCUUCUAUACUAUCUGAAAUUCGAAUCAAGGAGAGCGUCACUUGCAUGUUCAUCUGUUUCUAUAAAUGUUUGUGCUUCUCACUUUACAUGCUUUAUCAAUAUUUCUUGCAUUUUUCAUUGCCAACAACAUUUAAUUGAUUUAAUUUACACGUUGUAAUGAUUCAUACCAGACUGUAAUUUACUUUAUACAAUACUUUUACUGAUGAAUUAUUUGAUUGUUCUAGUGUGAAGGAACUUGUCUUAUUACCCACGUUUCCUUCAAAGAGUUUGUCUUUUGGUACAAGUUUUCUUAUCUAUAGCUUUUCUAAGACAUGAGCAAGCACUGCCGUUUGUCAAUGGAAUAUUUGGCCCAUCUAAAAUCAACUUUUCAUAUUCAUUUGAGUUAUUCGAAUAAUUAUAAAAGGUCACAAGUAUGAUAUAUAUAUUUAAACAUGUUUGAAUUUCUACAGUUGUAUAAAUAGCCUUAUAAGAUCUAGAUAUCCUGGUUUAUCAUUUUUAUUCAACCAAAAGCUUUUGAUUGUUUCAAAAAUUGAAAGGUAUUUCAUUGCCGUACCAAGUCUGGAAAACCAGAUUACAGCAAAAGGUGUCCAACAGAUGAAAAUCAUAGAUCACGGUGAUUAAUCUUGAGGUUUGUGAUAGUUCUGUAAAUAGGAAUUCAUAACACAAGACUGAUUAUUCCUUUUUUCCCAUGCUCUUUACAUAAUUAGGGUCCUGAUUUGAAGUCUCCCUUUGCGUGGAUACAAAGACAUGCACUUUUGUUAUAUGAAUGCAAUAUCUAAACGUAUAUGCCGACAUUAGAUUGCUACAACAUUGAAAGUUGUUGAUGCUGUCAUGAUGUUUAGGAAAGCUGGGUAGGUCUGAAAUGGACAGGACAGAAGGCUACUUGGGGCAUUUGAGUAAGUAAAGGGAAAAGGCAAACCUGGUAAUAUUAAUGGAUAAUUUUGUUUCUCUUUCCAAAUUCGUCUGUUGGUGCUCAAAGGUUCAUUCACAUUAAUGUGGAUUAGCAAUUUAAUUCGGAUAGUUUGAAGGGUCAUUUUCUGUUUUUGGGCAAGAAAUUUUUUGUUAUAAUAAUUUUUCAACAAUGACGUGAUAUACUUAAAUAAUCAAACCUAAUGGGAUUAUCCCUUAACAAUGGGAUGAUGUUGGUUGAUAAGUGUGGCUAUAGUUGCAAUGGAUUAUGAUAAAACUUGCAAUAUUUAAAUUAUUAAAACCUAACUGUAUGUUUUUUUUUUUUGUUCAAAGGGGAUGAAGCCAGUUGAAAAGUAUGGCUAUACUGGCUAUAGGAGUAGAUCGAUUGAGAAUUCUCAAACUGUCAGUAUCAUUCUUAUAAUGAACUUCCUCGCCAUUUAUUUCUGUGAUUACUCUAAAUGGGAGUUGGGGCUUUCAUAAUGCAGUGUUAUUAGCAAUCAAUACAACAUUUCUGUGGAUAUCAUACACAUUAUUAGAAUUUCUGGUGAAAUAUGCAGGCAGUUAUUUUCCUGGAUUCAGAAGUGAUACCAUGCUCAUGGCUGUGAUGAUAAUUAAAAAGUUAAUCAACAUCUUGAGUUUUACCCUCCCAUUUUGUAAUAAUGUUGGUCUCGAAAAUUUAUCCAUAGUCAAUAUUUCUGUUGUGAUAAGCAGUUUAUCUAAACAUAGUGCCAGUAUGUGAUCGAGCAGCAGGUGGCACACAUGUGUUUGUGAAUGAUUAUGAGGAUGGAAAUGUUUUAAUCCAAACUUAUGGUCAUGAUUUUGAUGGUUCCAUGUGAAUAAAUGUACACCUGUAGCAGUAUGAUUGACUAAUGAUUUUAAUAGGAUCCACUGUAACAGAUCAUGGCAUGGUGUUGCUAUGAUUUGGUGACUGGCAACUGAUAGUUGUGUUACUUAUCAUGUUUUUUAUAAGAUGGCCCUGUUUAAGGGAUGAAGAUGGUUACAUUAUAUUGGGUAUAAUGAGAAGAUGGUUGAAGUAAGAUUAUAUAAUAACCUGUUACUUUUUCAGAUAUGUAUGUAUGUAUGUAUGUAUGUAUGUAUGUAUGUAUGAUCUUUUACUGGUAUUCUUUUGGGUUCAUCUCAACUAGGUAGAAAGUACUUUUUGUUGAUUAAAAUUAUACUUGCCGCACAGGUGUAUAACAUGUGUGAUACCGUCCUACUUUCAUGUGGUCCCUCAGCUGUUUGUUCUGAACUUGCACUGUUAUGCAAUGUGCUUUGUCCUUGGAGAUAAUUGAUUGAACCUAUGUUAUCCGGAUAUAGGUCAUUCCAGUAAGACUGCCCUCAUUCGUAAGCAGAUUCGGGCCUAAUCAGGCAUUGGGGCCACCGCCAAAGUCACCGGGGCUUCAAAGUUGAAAGACAUAUAGAUGAUGGAUCAAAAUGAGAGCCUCCAGCUUGGCUAGCUCGUUGCCUGGACAAGCAUGAACACCGUUGCCAAACGGCAUGAAGGUAUUUGGUUUUGGAGCUACCUGCUUAAAUCCAUUUCCAGAAAAGCAAAAAUAAGGCAGCCCAUGAGUCCAAGGCAGAAAGAGCUAUGUGUUCAAUAUCAGGAAUUAGCUUCCUGAUGGUAUCAGGUGCUAGUGAGUAUUGAACCAACUUCCUUAGCCGAGUGUGGUAUUCACCCUGGUGAAAGAAGAGCGCCCAAGGGCCAAUCAUCAUCUCCUUGCUUUUGGGGUAAGUUGGUUUGAACAAGUGAGCAUGAGUCACCAGCACGAACCUCGCGGCUUCAGGGCUAGCCAACAUGACACAAGGACAACCGAGUAUUUGCGUUUUGAAUAUUUCUCCGUAUCUGAACAUCACAAAGGAAACAAACAAUGGCAGCACCAUCCAAGUUCAGUAUACUAGACAAAGGGAAAUUGAACAGCAACAAUAACAACAAGAAUGCCAGGUAAGAAACAGCAAUAACCUUUUCUGUUUUGUAAGAAAGAAGAUAUUUGGGUCUUGAGAGUAAAGUUGAAGAGUUUCUCCAAUAUAUGGCCAACCCAUUGAACCUGGUGGAAGCUUAUACCUUUCUAUAGGAAACCCUCUUUUUUGCUUCCUAAGAAAUGGAUAUGAAAGAAGAGUUGAGAGAAAGAGAAUCACGUAUAGUAUAAUAAAAACAAUAGUUUCCAUUGCAAAAAAAGAAAUAAUGUAGUCUCUCCCCCCCUC
This is a long non-coding RNA of Gossypium raimondii (Peruvian cotton), 3254 nucleotides long. RefSeq lists it as uncharacterized. NCBI's taxonomy places the organism in Eukaryota, Viridiplantae, Streptophyta, Magnoliopsida, Malvales, Malvaceae. The record is from RefSeq and is a predicted model, not a curated record. The transcript has 5 exons.